Molecule: ribosomal RNA, 462 nt
Filed under: uncultured bacterium
Lineage: Bacteria
Description: partial 16S ribosomal RNA
Rfam family: Bacterial small subunit ribosomal RNA
Source: RNAcentral
GACGAACGCUGGCGGCGUGCUUAACACAUGCAAGUCGAGCGGAAAGGCCCUUCGGGGUACUCGAGCGGCGAACGGGUGAGUAACACGUGAGUAACCUGCCCCAGACUUUGGGAUAACCCUCGGAAACGGGGGCUAAUACCGGAUACGACACAGCUUCGCAUGGGGUCUGUGUGGAAAGUUUUUCGGUUUGGGAUGGGCUCGCGGCCUAUCAGCUUGUUGGUGGGGUGAUGGCCUACCAAGGCGACGACGGGUAGCCGGCCUGAGAGGGCGACCGGCCACACUGGGACUGAGACACGGCCCAGACUCCUACGGGAGGCAGCAGUGGGGAAUAUUGCACAAUGGGCGGAAGCCCGAUGCAGCGACGCCGCGUGAGGGAUGACGGCCUUCGGGUUGUAAACCUCUUUCAGCAGGGACGAAGCGUAAGUGACGGUACCUGCAGAAGAAGCGCCGGCCAACUACGUG